This is a long non-coding RNA of Ostrinia nubilalis (European corn borer), 925 nucleotides long. RefSeq lists it as uncharacterized. NCBI's taxonomy places the organism in Eukaryota, Metazoa, Arthropoda, Insecta, Lepidoptera, Crambidae. The transcript has 2 exons. The record is from RefSeq and is a predicted model, not a curated record.
CGCACGGAACGCGGGAAGGCCCGGUGCGGGGCGACACGCCCCGCUGCGGGGCAGUGCGGGGCCGCGGGGGGACCCGCCCGCAUGCGGGGACGCGCAUAGAAACAGUGCCCAGAAAACAUUUACGCGGAGCGCACGCACCGCGUUUUAACGUUCAGUCAACAUAAAUUUUUGUUGCUAGACUUGGUAAUAGGUACCAAGUAACAAUUCUACAGCAGUGAUGUGUCUCGUCAGCACUAACAAAAUGUACAUCGACACAGAACAAGUGAUAAUCGAAGUCCAUCAGCGGCCCGUGUUGUGGGACAAAAAACAUUUGUUAUACAAAGACAGGGACGCGAGAGAGGCAGCAUGGACGGAAAUUCUAGCGGAAUUGACACCCGACUACCAAAGUUUGAGCCCUGAGGAUAUAAAAAUGGCGGACAAGAAAAUACAACAACGCUGGCGAACAGCAAGGGACAGUUAUAAGAAGGACAGGAUAUUUGAAAAAAAUAAUCCAUCGGGCUUUAGUAGUAAAAGGAAGAAAUAUGUUUACUAUGACAUAUUGACUUUCUUAGACGGAACGGAAAAUGCUGGCGAUGAGUCACCAUGCGAAGAAUUGUAUGAAGAAAGUCAUUCACUCGUAGAAACCUUGUUAGAAACACCUGAAGUGAAACCCAGAUCAAAUAAAAGGCGAUACAAAGUUCUAAAACGAGCAAAUAAAACUAAAAGUGGAUUUGGGGCACAUACGUGUUUAAAGCCUAAUCAAUUGCAACUAGAAAGUGAGGAUUUGGAUUUCUUUCAAUCCCUGCAGCCAACAUUGAAAAGAUUCACCAGAUACCAAAAAUUAAUGUUCAGAACUAAGGUGUUAAAUAUAGUUAUGGAAAUGGAAAAAGAAGCAGAACCACAUCAAAUAUUUAUUCCAAAAUCUGAAUAAAACAAUUUUUCCAAA